Non-coding RNA from Gossypium raimondii (Peruvian cotton), 145 nucleotides. The record is from Rfam. Lineage: Eukaryota; Viridiplantae; Streptophyta; Magnoliopsida; Malvales; Malvaceae.
UGUUAAAAAUUUAAUCCAUUUGUAUCGUUAAAAAUUGAUGUUGUUGACGAAAUAACUAAAUAGUUCCAUGUGGCAUGCCAUGUGUACUUUAUGCUGAUAUACAGAGACUAGCUUUUAACAGCAAAAGUAUAUGGAAUUUUUAAUU